RNAcentral lists this long non-coding RNA (2187 nucleotides) under Equus caballus (horse). RNAcentral describes it as "lncRNA (ENSECAG00000057494.1)". Lineage: Eukaryota; Metazoa; Chordata; Mammalia; Perissodactyla; Equidae. The record is from RNAcentral.
CAUGGCAAUGGCCUGUGUGGGCCUCUCUUUUUGGAAAAUGGAGGGAGGGAUAUUAUCCUAGCUGUCUGGGCUGCUGCUUUCCUUCUGUGGCCAGCAUCUUGAAAGGAGCAGGAGGGCAAAGUGGUCUGAGGAGGCCAAUAUAUACAGUGAAAAAAGCAGGGAGUGCUGCCAAAAGCCACACAGGACUGGCAAUCACUUGACUCAGGGCCUUUGCACAUGCUAUUUCCUUCUCGUGGAAGGCUCCUCCCCCAUAUAUCUGGAUGGCCAACUCCCUCACCUCUUUUAGUUCUUUGCUCACAUAUGACCUUCUCAGUGAGGCCUUCCUGACCACGCUAUUUAAAAAUGUCAUCCUGCUCCCAGCAUUUUCUGUCCUCCAUUCCUGCCUUAUUUUUUCCAUAUUACUUAUCACCAUCUAACAUAUGGUAUCUUUUACUUAUUUACUAUGUUUAUUGGAUGACUCCUUCCACUAGAAUGCAGGCUGCAUGAGGGUCGGGAUUUUUGUCUGUUUUAUUCAUUGCAGUAUCUCCUGUAUCUAGAAAAGCACCUGGCUUGAAAAAGGUGCUCACAUAAUCUCAGCUGAAUUAACGAAUCAACAAAGACAACGCUGCGUGCUGUUAGGACGGGUUGUGUGCCCGGCAAUGGGUUACCCCCUGUAGGGGAGGAAGUGGACAAGAUCUCAGACUAGGAGUGGGGAGAGCUGGGCUCGAGCCCCAGCCCUGCCCCUCACCAGCAGGAAAGUGGAGAUUGGGCAGCCCCUUCGCAUCCCUCCAGGGAGCUGUGAAACUCAGGCCAGGUAAUGGAAAUAAAAGCACACCGUGAAUUACGAAGGGCCGCCCCUCAUGGCCCUCCCCAUCCUGAUUCUACCAUUUUGUCCGGGGAUGACCCAAGUGACAGUGUGGUCCGUUGAGGCUGGUGUAACUAGAGAUUUCUUGGAGAAAGUGAGUCCUGAGCUGGGCUCUAAAUGUACAGGGAACAACACUGGCAAAGGCCCAGAGGAACAAGGAAUUUGGGGUGGGGGAGGCAGAGCCUCUCUGGAGAUCGUUUCUGAUGCUAAUUCAAGACACAAGAGCCCAGGGGAGCUUCUGCCUGCUGUGGCCACCACUUCUCAGGACAGUUGCCCUGGCUGAGCUGUAUUCUACUCAAAGCGUGCUUGUCACCAGGAACUGGGACCCACCGCACUGCUGUGGUGUGUCGCCGGUUGGCAAAGAUAACAGGCAGCCUCCAGGCAGCGGAGAUUGGGCCUCAGAGGCUGGAGCUGGAGGGUCAGGGACUCCAGCCCUCUCCUGGGGCCUCACAGCUCACCCACCUUGCACAAGGGCCAACUGAGCUGCUCCCGCCUUCUCCCCGUGUUACAGCUUUUUGGUUCAGCCCCUUUUCCUGACUACAGUUUCUAAGUGUCUUAGUGACACAUAGCAUUUCUGGUGUCCUUGAAUCAGCCUAGGGACGGAGCAGUCACUUGCCUACCCCACAUCCAGCCCCUGUGGCCAGGAGGGGACCAAAGUCACGUGGUCACAGUGGGAGUGGGGUCCCCCUCUGAUGUCAGGGGGCAAGGAGAAUUGAUCUAGAAAGGCAGUUGGGCAGGGAAGGUCAAAUGGCUGAAGUUUGAGUACAAGUCUUCAAUACCAUCUUGCAGGCUGGGCCCCUCAGGGUGGAUUCUGGGAGAAAGAAACAGGCCCAUUUCCGUGGGGACCCUGCCUGAACGAGUCUGAAUGUGGCAGCUGCAAGUGCAGGAGCACCAUUCUGAUGGAACCUGAAGCCAGAGGAAGAAGGAAGAAAAUUACCACUUCUUAGGACCUAGCGGACGAUGAAGGAAGAGAAUCCUCAUCUCUUGCCAGCAGAAAUCAAUAAUUUAUGAAGUACUGCUCCAGCCAGAGCAAAGAGCAAUUUUUUUUAAUGCUUCUUAAAAUACAGUAUUAACAAGUCUUCUAAAGGGUGAAAAUAUUUGAGUUAGGGUAAAUGAAUGUUUUAUGAGCUGGCUGGGGAGCAGUCUCCUGAGAUGGGCAGAGGGGUGGCUGAGGAGGCAGGAGAGAGCCUUGCAUUCGAGCUGGCUCAGUGUCCUGAGGUUCUGGGCCCAGGCCACUGGUACUUGUCAGGGGAUGGCCACGUGUGCCCAGGUCCAAGACUACUGUGAAUCUUAAAUUCUGGCCUCUGGAGACCUGCUGCCCUAGAAUGGUCCUCCAGGCCUCC